AUGAACGCUGGCGGCGUGCCUAAUACAUGCAAGUCGAGCGAACAGACGAGGAGCUUGCUCCUCUGACGUUAGCGGCGGACGGGUGAGUAACACGUGGAUAACCUACCUAUAAGACUGGGAUAACUUCGGGAAACCGGAGCUAAUACCGGAUAAUAUAUUGAACCGCAUGGUUCAAUAGUGAAAGACGGUUUUGCUGUCACUUAUAGAUGGAUCCGCGCCGCAUUAGCUAGUUGGUAAGGUAACGGCUUACCAAGGCGACGAUGCGUAGCCGACCUGAGAGGGUGAUCGGCCACACUGGAACUGAGACACGGUCCAGACUCCUACGGGAGGCAGCAGUAGGGAAUCUUCCGCAAUGGGCGAAAGCCUGACGGAGCAACGCCGCGUGAGUGAUGAAGGUCUUCGGAUCGCAAAACUCUGUUAUUAGGGAAGAACAAAUGUGUAAGUAACUAUGCACGUCUUGACGGUACCUAAUCAGAAAGCCACGGCUAACUACGUG
This 496-nucleotide ribosomal RNA is filed under the name uncultured bacterium. Its description in RNAcentral is "partial 16S ribosomal RNA". It matches the Rfam family "Bacterial small subunit ribosomal RNA", at positions 29 to 507 of the family's 1533-position model. The record is from RNAcentral.